CCUACGGGUGGCUGCAGUGGGGAAUAUUGGGCAAUGGUCGCGAGCCUGACCCAGCAACGCCGCGUGAAGGAGGAAGGCUUUCGGGUUGUAAACUUCUUUUGGCAAGGGCGAAGCAAGUGACGGUCCCUGACGAAUAAGCGACGGCUAACUACGUGCCAGCAGCCGCUGUGAGACGUAGGUGGCAAGCGUUAUCCGGAUUUACUGGGUGUAAAGGGCGUGUAGGCGGGACUGUAAGUCAGAUGUGAAAUCCACGGGCUCAACCUGGGGCCUGCAGUUGAAACUGUAGGUCUUGAGUACGGGAGAGGCAGACGGAAUGCGUAGUGUAGCGGUGAAAUGCGUAGAUAUUAGGAGGAACACCAGUGGCGAAGGCGGUCUGCUGGACAGAAACUGACGCUGAGGCGCGAAAGCGUGGGGAGCAAACAGGAUUAGAUACCCCGGUAGUC
RNAcentral lists this ribosomal RNA (443 nucleotides) under uncultured bacterium. RNAcentral's name for it is "partial 16S ribosomal RNA". It matches the Rfam family "Bacterial small subunit ribosomal RNA", at positions 338 to 795 of the family's 1533-position model. The record is from RNAcentral.